RNAcentral lists this ribosomal RNA (292 nucleotides) under uncultured bacterium. RNAcentral's name for it is "partial 16S ribosomal RNA". It matches the Rfam family "Bacterial small subunit ribosomal RNA", at positions 505 to 796 of the family's 1533-position model. The record is from RNAcentral.
GUGUCAGCAGCCGCGGUAAUACGAACUGUGCAAACGUUAUUCGGAAUCACUGGGCUUAAAGGGUGCGCAGGCGGUCUGCUAAGCAGGGUGUGAAAGCCCCCGGCUCAACCGGGGAAUUGCGCCCUGAACUGGCAGGCUUGACUGAGAUAGAGGUGUGGGGAACUUCCGGUGGAGCGGUGUAAUGUGUUGAUAUCGGAAGGAACGCCAGAGGCGAAAGCGCCACACUGGGUCUCAACUGACGCUGAGGCACGAAAGCCAGGGGAGCAAACGGGAUUAGAUACCCCCGUAGUCC